GAUGAAGAACGCAGCGAAAUGCGAUAACUAAUGUGAAUUGCAGAAUUCAGUGAAUCAUCGAGUCUUUGAACGCACAUUGCGCCCCCUGGUAUUCCGGGGGGCAUGCCUGUCCGAGCGUCAUUGCUGCCUCAAGCACGGCUUGUGUGUUGGGCUCCGUCCCCCCGGGGACGGGCCCGAAAGGCAGCGGCGGCACCGAGUCCGGUCCUCGAGCGUAUGGGGCUUUGUCACCCGCUCUGUAGGCCCGGCCGGCGCCAGCCGACAACCCAUCAUCCUUUUCAGGUUGACCUCGGAUCAGGUAGGGAUACCCGCUGAACUUAAGCAUAUCAAUAAGCGGAGGA
RNAcentral lists this unclassified non-coding RNA (338 nucleotides) under soil metagenome. RNAcentral's name for it is "partial contains 5.8S ribosomal RNA, internal transcribed spacer 2, and large subunit ribosomal RNA". The stretch from base 1 to 120 matches the Rfam family "5.8S ribosomal RNA", at positions 35 to 154 of the family's 154-position model. The record is from RNAcentral.